UUCUCUUCUUCCCUUCUAUCUGCAAACCCUAAUCACAAUACUAUCUCUGCUAUACACCUCGACAACGCAUAUAAUCGUUCUAUAAUUUUUUUCUUAAAAACUCGUGUUCCCCCUCUCACAUUUUCCUGCUGGUGCUGCCUUAUUUCCUCGUCCUCAAGCCCUAUCCACUCAUCAAUUCUUCUUCCGAUGAAUUUAUUUGCCACACCAGCAGCUCUCACAGCUACACCAUCAUCGAAUGAUCUCUAUCAACCAACAAAACCUUAAUGUUUAAGUCUGACUUCACCAGAACCAUUGGCCAUGUGCCUCAUCUUCAACGGAACCAUUAUCUACUCAUCGUCGCCCACUCUGUCUCCGACUUCACCACCAAGAACCUCCGUUUGUCACUGAAACAAUCUCCUUGAUUUGAGAGGAUUACUGCAUAAAUAACCACCACAGGAACCUCUUCACUUGUCACCGGAAUCCUACCAGCCACUGUUGUCCCUUCCUUCGACCAUAGUAAUUCCAUCACUAACCAAAAGCACCCUAUGUUGGGUACAAUUUAUUGAAUCUGAUAGGUCCUCAAGACAUGGAAUGUCUAAAAUUAGAGGAGAGUUUAUGGUUGGUGUUCUACAUCAUGUUCCUCCUAUUCUAGAUUUUACAGCUCCAAUCCCAAACAGGUAAUAAGUUUUAUAUUUUUACUAUUGUUGAUAAUAUGAAGAGUGUGUAAGAACAUUAGGGCCUCUGCAAAUAUUUCUGGAUUGUAAAUUGUAUUUUGUCUUGAAUCGAUGGUCUUCGCACACAUCUCUCUCUCCCUAAUCCUAUUGGAAUCUGGACAAGGCUCAUAAGACUGUGAGUAUAUUAUCUUGCUUUUCUUAUUCCUAGUUUUAUAAACCUUUUCCAUUUUCCAAAUAUUUCUGGUUUUUCAUUUUAUUUAUUUAUUUAUUUUCAUUUUUAGCAUUUGCAAGUUGUUGGGCUUAAUGGGUUAAGCACUUAACCUAGACAUGUAUUUAUGGUUGUUGUUUUUUCUUAAUCUGGACAUAAUGACUUAAUAGCUUAAGCUGGUUUAAUGUAUUAAUACACUAACUUGUUUUUUCCUCACAACUCCUAUCACAUUAAAAAUUGAUGAAUGUUGUGAAAUUUGAUUUUCUUUCUUUGAAUGUGAGGGUUAAAUGGUCAUUCAGUCUACAAAAGGAAUCACAGUUUGAUGUAUACAACACUUUAUCCAUAUAGAUGUUGUUAUCCAUUCAGCCAUUUUAACAAUACAGUUGUUGAUUCAACAUUGCUGGGAAGGAAAUUUUGGAGAAGGCAGAUCUUGAAGUGGCUUUGAAGGGUCUAAACGACAGGCUUAUGACCAAGAAUGUGGGUGAAGAGAUUGCUGAGAAAAUUUGCGAGUCUCUAGCGUAUAUGUGGUAAGGUUUGCACCAGGUACGAAUUUUAGUGAUGGCGGAUUCAACUUGCAGCGGACUUAUGACUUGGAAUCGAGCAAUAUUACUUCCAAAAAUAACAGUCCAAAUGGUCAGAUAUUAUCUAUACAACCUGAUUUUGUCCCAUUGAAUAUACUGAAUACAAUUCCAAAUUUUCAAAAAUUUUCAUGCAUGAAUGGUUUGUUGAAAAAUAUUUAAUAUAACAUAACGAUAUAAAUUUGAUAUUAUUUAAUCAUAACAUCACUAAUAAUGCAUAUCCAGAUACGAAACCACUAAUAAUGCAUCCAAGGAGUUUACCAACAGAUGGAAACAUGAUGUAGACGACACAAUCGUGGCGAAGGCCAGCUAGCUUGAAAACAUGAAAGUUCUCAAAUGGCCUAGGGAAGAAGUAGGAAUGUACUCGGGCUAUAAAGUCAGAUAGGCUCCCAAUUUCAGUUCAAUAAUUAAACACUGCCCAUAUAAGGUAUUCAGGUCAUUAACUUGAUAUCAUAUCAGGGAGUAUGUGUUCCUGGUUCAGGGGCUAGAGUAAUGACAGUUUUGGGUGGGCCCACAACUAAAGACACAUCGGAAAACAUAGGCGUGGUGUAGCCAGAGAACUAAUGUGGCCAGAAGCUUUACAAUUUGUCAACUUGAUGCAUCUAAGUAGAACUUCAUGAUUGCUGAUUUGUUAAGAGAAUGGUGGAUUUGGAACUAUUUACAAGGAUCAGUUAGAUUCAGAGAAGAUUGAUCAUAGGCGAGCAUACAACUGUGAGAUCAUGCUUUCAAAGGUGAAUAUACCUUUGCAUGAACUAAUGGUGAUGACCUUACAUGUGACAAUGCAAAUCUUGAAGGUGAAUCAGGGUUACGCUCUAAGCAAUUGAGAAAGCUACUUCUAUUCUCUAGGAAUGUUUAAUGAUCAAUUUCACCUGGUUGCCAAGGCUGCUAGGUGAAAUUGAUGUUAACUCUUUUUAUCUUGGAUUACUUGACUGGUAGUAUAGCAACCAAGUGUCUCAUUUUCAUUAAUUUGGCUAAAAAAUUAUUUUCAUUGCCUAUUAAGUCACUAAAUUAACAUUUUAUGUUAAAUAUGUCACCAUGCUUACAGUUUUUUCUGACUUUCAUUUUUUUAUAACAUAAUAAGACCUCACUCGCUGAUGUCAUCUUUUCUGACUUCCAUUUUUUUUAUAUAAUUUUUGUUUGGGUCAGGAGGCUGCUGAUUACAAAGCACCACAAUCUGAAAGAGGCAUGAAGUCACGUGCAAUUCUUGGUAGACAGGUCAAAGGAAUUGUCACAGAGCAGGGUUUUCUGCUCAUUUACAUUGCAAAUUUGCUGCUUUAGUUCAACAUCCAGA
Non-coding RNA from Lactuca sativa (garden lettuce), 2730 nucleotides. Lineage: Eukaryota; Viridiplantae; Streptophyta; Magnoliopsida; Asterales; Asteraceae. The record is from RefSeq and is a predicted model, not a curated record.